ACAUCUCUAGAAUGAAAAGGUUUAUCGUUCUGUUAUUGGUGAUGCUGUGGAUGACACGAGUGAACAGUCACUUGUGUCUAGGAAAAACAAUGUGCAAAAACAGAAAGAAAGCUAAUGGUAAAAGGCAUAUACCAUGGUCAAAUGAUAAACAAGAAAAACAAGAGAGUCCAUGGUUCGAACGUCACACUAUGCAAACGCGACGAAUUCCCAAAAUGAGAUCAACGCACUUUCUACAAAAAUGACCGCAAACACUGCGAUGGAUGGUCUUACGGACGCAACGAAGGAAGAUUCACGAAACUAUUUCGCAGGAAAGAUAAUUACUUAAAAUAAAAAUUGAAAAAUGGAUAAUAUUACGACAUUAUCCAAACCGCAUGAUGUCAAUAUAAUACACAUAAUGAUCAUGUUGUUGUGCAAUUACAACACUACAUCGUAUUCAAAUGUAAUUGGCUCUUUAACCUAUGCACUUGAAAAACUAUUAUGUCAAUUGUAAA
Molecule: long non-coding RNA, 491 nt
Organism: Xenia sp. Carnegie-2017
Lineage: Eukaryota; Metazoa; Cnidaria; Anthozoa; Malacalcyonacea; Xeniidae
Exons: 2
Source: RefSeq, a predicted model, not a curated record